This 253-nucleotide ribosomal RNA is filed under the name uncultured prokaryote. RNAcentral describes it as "partial 16S ribosomal RNA". It matches the Rfam family "Bacterial small subunit ribosomal RNA", at positions 525 to 777 of the family's 1533-position model. The record is from RNAcentral.
ACGAAGGGGGCUAGCGUUGUUCGGAAUUACUGGGCGUAAAGCGCUCGCAGGCGGAUCGAUAAGUCAGGGGUGAAAUCCCGGGGCUCAACCUCGGAAUUGCCUUUGAUACUGUCAAUCUCGAGUCCGGGAGAGGUGAGUGGAAUUCCUAGUGUAGAGGUGAAAUUCGUAGAUAUUAGGAAGAACACCAGUGGCGAAGGCGGCUCACUGGCCCGGAACUGACGCUCAUGAGCGAAAGCGUGGGGAGCAAACAGGA